GGCUUGAUCGAUGGUAGUGGGUUAUCGGAACUUAUUAACAUUAGUGUCACUAAAGUUGGCAUAAUACCCCCCACUGCUAAAUUUGACUGGUUUAAA
Molecule: Y RNA, 96 nt
Filed under: Microcebus murinus (gray mouse lemur)
Lineage: Eukaryota; Metazoa; Chordata; Mammalia; Primates; Cheirogaleidae
Description: Y RNA (ENSMICG00000042128.1)
Rfam family: Y RNA
About the family: Y RNAs are components of the Ro ribonucleoprotein particle (Ro RNP), in association with Ro60 and La proteins. The Y RNAs and Ro60 and La proteins are well conserved, but the function of the Ro RNP is not known. In humans the RNA component can be one of four small RNAs -- hY1, hY3, hY4 and hY5.
Source: Rfam by way of RNAcentral